This 468-nucleotide ribosomal RNA is filed under the name uncultured bacterium. RNAcentral describes it as "partial 16S ribosomal RNA". It matches the Rfam family "Bacterial small subunit ribosomal RNA", at positions 28 to 507 of the family's 1533-position model. The record is from RNAcentral.
GACGAACGCUGGCGGCGUGCUUAACACAUGCAAGUCGAACGGAAAGGCCCUGCUUUUGUGGGGUGCUCGAGUGGCGAACGGGUGAGUAACACGUGAGUAACCUGCCCUUGACUUUGGGAUAACUUCAGGAAACUGGGGCUAAUACCGGAGAGGAGCUCCUGCUGCAUGGUGGGGGUUGGAAAGUUUCGGCGGUUGGGGAUGGACUCGCGGCUUAUCAGCUUGUUGGUGGGGUAGUGGCUUACCAAGGCUUUGACGGGUAGCCGGCCUGAGAGGGUGACCGGCCACAUUGGGACUGAGAUACGGCCCAGACUCCUACGGGAGGCAGCAGUGGGGAAUAUUGCACAAUGGGCGGAAGCCUGAUGCAGCAACGCCGCGUGCGGGAUGACGGCCUUCGGGUUGUAAACCGCUUUCGCCUGUGACGAAGCGUGAGUGACGGUAAUGGGUAAAGAAGCACCGGCUAACUACGUG